AGGGUUUAAUAAUUAGUGGUUAGGAUUUAGUUUAUUGAAGACUGGGGUUGACAUUGGAUUAGAGUUUAUAUUUCUGUGUAGGGUUUAGUGAAUAGUUGAUAGGGUUUGGUUUAUGUACUAUUGGGGUUGACGUUGGGGCAAACAUUACCACUUUCCAUGAAGGCAUAGCCAUAUUAACAUUUGAAAAAUAUGUUAAGAUGAUCUUCAAAUUGCAACUACAUUUUCAUAUUUUCUAUUCUAUAUGCCUCCUGUAGAAUGGUAAUGCAUUUUACUGGCAUUUUGAAAUUUGGGUUUAUUAUAUGGAAAAUUAGGGUUGACUAUUGGAUUUGAGUUUAUAUUUCUGUGUAGAGUUAAUGGUUAGUUGAUAGGGUUUAUAUUAUUUUACAAUGAAUAAGCAUGAUGUAUGUUUUGUUGUUGGGUUUAGUAUUUAGUGGUUGUGAGUGGGAUUAGAAUCAUAUACUAUUUCGGUGAUAUAGAAUACAUUUUUUUUUAAUUAAAAAACUUUAGUAUUUAUGGUUGGGGUUGAAGUUUAUAUUUCUGUUUAAGGUUUAUAUUUUCUUUUAGGGUUAGUGUUUAAUAUUUAUGGAUUGGAGGUGGAUUGGGAUACAAUUUAUUAUUUAGAGUUGUGAUGAAGUUGGUGUUCUAUCUAUUUUGGUAAAAUAGAAUAGAGUAACUGAGGUUGGUAAAUGGAAUACAAAAUAUAUUGGAAUGAGUUCUAUUUUAGUCCAUACAUUUACUGUGAACAAUAAUUCUGGAUGCGGUAAAUAUUUAAGUGACGUGAUUUUUCUCUCUUUCAAGUCACCUCUAUAAUAUCAUGAGC
RNAcentral lists this long non-coding RNA (820 nucleotides) under Brassica napus (rape). RNAcentral's name for it is "long non-coding RNA (BNAP_LNC014158)". The record is from RNAcentral. Lineage: Eukaryota; Viridiplantae; Streptophyta; Magnoliopsida; Brassicales; Brassicaceae.